Nothobranchius furzeri (turquoise killifish) is the source of this 2447-nucleotide non-coding RNA. The record is from RefSeq and is a predicted model, not a curated record. NCBI's taxonomy places the organism in Eukaryota, Metazoa, Chordata, Actinopteri, Cyprinodontiformes, Nothobranchiidae.
AACGGAGCUCUCAGCUCAGUCAAGCAGUCUUUCACGCGUGCAAUGUUCUGUCCAGAAGGACUAACGACUCCAUUUAGGGUUUAAACCAACUACUUUGUCCAUCUAAAGGUGACACUGAACCAGUUCAACAGAGGCCCACCACUUUGAUUCUAUUUUGAAGGUGCCCAUGAUGAAAAGGCCUUUUACACCGUAUGAAGUGGACCUGUAAACGUGGUACUUUUUUCUGUGGAAAUCGUAAGUGCAUCAUUGAACCUUAUCAAAGCAAUCACAGACAUUACGGCAGAACUUGCCCUUUGCCCUUCAUUUACAAUUACUGCUCACAGUAUUUCAGAUCCAAACAAUCCUUGCAUGUCCAUCUGAGAGAUCAUGGACUCAAUGAAAACACUAACGGACUAAUAAGCUUUAAGCCUGGUAUUUGGAGCACCUUCAUUGUUACGAAUUCUGCAAGAAAGAUCCAGAUCAACUGAUGGCCACUGAACCCAGUGAACUGAACCACUACCUUCCACUGUCAUCCUACGCUGUCCAAGGCCGACUGGUGAUUUCUCCAAAGGUGUUUCUUGUACAUUGAGACAACCUUGUAAUGUAGCAAGUUGGUGAAAUGAUGGACAUCACAUUCCCCCUACGAAGAAAAGAAAUAGUUGAAAAUCAACCUCUUGCGGCUGAAGUCAAAGAAAGGUGGCCAGCCCUGUUCAAAGAACAGCAGAUUGAAGCAGAGUUUGCUCGGCUGACAUCUGUUGACCUCAAGAAGUCUUUCUUCAGUGGACUGGAUCAGCAUUUGCCAAGGUUCCUGGAGCUGUUCAAGGCCAAGAGUGGGAAAUCAGCUGGACUAAGCAGGCAGCUUAAAUGUCUUGAUGACGUAAGCAAAUAAAUGUUCACAUAUUUUUGUUAGUAUUAGUAACAUUUCCUUUGGAGAUUAUUUACAGUUUUACCGGUUUUCAGUAUUUAACAGUAUUUUCUAUUUUCUAAUACAGAGAAGAAGAAAAUUAUGUUAACAUUUUGUUGGGUUAUUGUCUUUGGGUGAAUAGAAUUCAGUCAUGCCUUUUAGGAAAUCCAUCAAAUUGAAAUUAUCUUUGAAACAAUCUGCCUGUGUAAAUUUAGCAAAAAAAAAAAAAGCAUGUUUCUACACAAAAUUACCACAACCCCAGUAGCUUUCCUAUAGUGAUAGGUCAGAGCUGGAAAAACUUAUCAGAAAAAUUCUAUUCCAAAAGCUAUAGUAUUUAGAAUAAAAAAAAAUGGCUAAAGGCUGCCAAAUCCCCCCUCCCAAUAAAACAAAAACAGAAAAACUGUCAGUCAAAACAAAUUCUGUAGCAGACUUCUAUUGCAGUACAGGUUUGUAAGAAGAAUUUGAAGUGAAAAUGUCCAACUAAUCAAUUGAGUAUAGAAAACAGAAUAAAAGAAUCAGGAUAUCAAUAAUUUGUUAUUCUCUUUAUAAUUAGUUGUUUUGUCUUUGUUUUUUCUCAGUCCUCUAUGCUGAGGCAGAGGUCAGUUGUUCUUCCGGUGCCUUCUGUAUAUUCUCAAGGAUGAUCCUUCAAAUGCAUUCAAGACUGUUCAGGCCAUUGACGAGGAAGCCACAUUCACUCGGGGAAUGCAAGUUGGAGUUCUGCUGGUGAAAGAUGGAGAGGACAUCAUUGCCACAUCAGUCAUUCUUGAGGAACAAGUGGUCCUGCCUGAUGUGGAGGACAUUCCUCAUGCCAUUGCUCUACUGAUGGGUCUGCUUUUUGCCUUUAAUAUAGACUAUCCAAAGGAACUCAGGUACACAUUUGAAGUUUUUCAAAAGGUCCUGAUGAACAUCGGCGGAGGUCAGUGUUCCUCCCUUGUGCAUGGUUUGAGAAACAGACUGUUACAAAAAACCAUGUAGAUUCUCCUGAAAUGUCUCAUCUCAUGACUCAUGGAUGUCUGAGCUUUUUGAAAGCAUUCAACGUUUCCUGUUAAACAUUGUUCCAAAGGUCAUAUAGAAGUUUGGCACAUGGUUUGGAAUUCUUGUUUUGUUAUUUCAUCUGUUUAGGUUUAUUCCAUCAGAAAAUAUAGUCAUAUUGGUUCAAAGCCAAUCAAAUGCAUAGGUUGAUAAAAAGUAUUGCAAUAAAGAGGUCAACAUAAGACCAAACGAUAGAUGACAAGAUUAAAAUGUGCACUAUUUGUUUAGAACUACUAUUUUGAAUAGUAUCAUUUUGAAUUUUAUUUUAUUGUUUUUAUUUGUGCAAGGUUUUGUCAGAUGCUUUAAAAGUUUAUGCACUUGAGUUAAUGUGCAAUGACUUGUCUCAUUUAAGACACUAAAUAUGUUCUAACUAUAAGACCUUGAUAAGCUGCUGUGUUAAUGUUUUUUUUGAGUGCAGACUGUUCUAAAACGUUUUCACUAUUCAUUACAAAACAAAACAGCUUCAGUAAAUGUUGCAGAGCUGUAACUUCAUUACUGCUAAAUAAAUAAAAAAACUAGCUGAGUUGAUGAA